GAUGAGAGAGGCCAGUGAGGUUGUAAAGACGGCGGCCGCGGCUUAUCGAGGGUAGUCGAAAGAAGGAACUAAGACACGGAACUCGAACGAGCAGGCGUGGACGUCGGUGGGGGUGUAGAGCUAAGAGACAACGUCGGUGUCCCACGGGGUGUCGAGCUAAGCGGCAAGGUCGGUGUCACACUGGAAGCUGCCGCCGACCAAAAAGAGGAGCACACGUAGGAGCCAGAGGAUCCGACCAUUUAUCACUACCUCCCCAUCGUCCCGGGUUCGACCUCGACGCGUUCCCUCCUCCGCUCUAGUAGCUAGACGCGCCACAACAAGGACAGUCGCAAGUACGUCCACUACACCCGCACCUAAAGCAGAGGGCGACAGUCGAAACUAGGUAGAAAUCAUACUCCUACCACCUCUGUAAAAGACGGGGAACUCGCGGUCUGCGUAGGAUGUGUAGCCGCUGUAAGAAGCUUCCUACCCGUAUUAUAUAGGAAGGUUGACUAGAAGUAAAGAAGGAAAACGAAGUGAAGCACAGAAAGAAGAAGGUAUGGAUAAAACUGCCCUUGAGACGUAUACAAUUAAGAGACCGAAGGAGUGUGUAGAACACACAGAGGUAGAUGACACACCUUUCAAUUAGAAAGUUACGUCCCUAGAGACUUCACGUAAAGUUUAACUUUAUAAGAGGUUGUGCACAGUAGAGAACUAGAGUAACAAAGCAUAAUCGUGGCGCCUAACCAGUAGUGGAAAUAAAUACAUAAAUUUUUCUUUCACCGUCCGCUGCCUGCUGAUGUUUCUAGUUACCGCUACGCGGACGACAAGAAACCUGGCUCCUCUCAUGGAACGAGACGACGAAGUCUGGACCCGGCUGGAACGAGCAGGUUUACCGACGUUGGUAGACGUGACUACUAGCUACAGUAUACCUUUAGUACACCCUUAUUCGUACGCGAGAGGUUAGAGGUACCUGCGGUCACGGAGCAGACGGAGGUAGACGUGGGCGGCGACGUCGCACCGGGGCCGCAGAAUGAGAGGCUACAACGACGACGGUACCACAGCAUUCGUAGACAGACGACGAGUUGACGUCGCAUGGUGGUGAACUUCGCCGACAUUCUCAGGAUCCCGUUUUAGGUAGGGGUACGUUCGAAGGAGGUGUCCCGUACCACCGCCGCACGCUUUUUUCCUCAGCUUUUGGACCCGCUCCCUAGAAAAGGAGAAUAAAAACACAAACACUUUAGCACACCUAGGACUCUUUAACGUACUUAGACACAUUGCACUUACAUUAAAAAAAGAUACAUGCACAUUCGAUUUUUUCUAAAUACAUGCACAUAUACGGUUGAGUGCACGUGUAUACCCAGUAAAAAAUUAUCUUAACUCUCUGACAAAUCUUAACUCUCUAACAAAGACUAAACCACGCAUCCC
RNAcentral lists this ribosomal RNA (1407 nucleotides) under Triticum aestivum (bread wheat). Its description in RNAcentral is "partial small subunit ribosomal RNA". Lineage: Eukaryota; Viridiplantae; Streptophyta; Magnoliopsida; Poales; Poaceae. The record is from RNAcentral.